UACGUAGGGCGCAAGCGUUAUCCGGAAUUAUUGGGCGUAAAGAGCUCGUAGGCGGCUUGUUGCGUCGUCCGUGAAAACCUGUGGCUCAACUACAGGCUUGCGGUCGAUACGGGCGGGCUGGAGUCCGGUAGGGGAGUGCGGAAUUCCUGGUGUAGCGGUGAAAUGCGCAGAUAUCAGGAGGAACACCGGUGGCGAAGGCGGCACUCUGGGCCGGAACUGACGCUGAGGAGCGAAAGCGUGGGGAGCGAACAGG
This 253-nucleotide ribosomal RNA is filed under the name uncultured bacterium. RNAcentral describes it as "partial 16S ribosomal RNA". It matches the Rfam family "Bacterial small subunit ribosomal RNA", at positions 524 to 776 of the family's 1533-position model. The record is from RNAcentral.